Molecule: long non-coding RNA, 453 nt
Organism: Neodiprion fabricii
Lineage: Eukaryota; Metazoa; Arthropoda; Insecta; Hymenoptera; Diprionidae
Exons: 2
Source: RefSeq, a predicted model, not a curated record
UCGGCUGAAACGAAUCAACAGAAUAGAUGAAAAUUAUUCAGAGUCAUGAGGCACGCUUAGACGAGAGAUUCUCUGGACCACUUUUCGCAUACGAGUCAUUGCCUGUGAACUUUUGGCUUCUAUAAACGCAUCUCACGUCCUGCGGAUUCUUCACCUCCGUUAAUUGCUAGAACUGAGAUUUCGUAACAUGAAAACGCUGAGAAGAGGAAUUCGAAAAUUCUUUUUCCAACGUAGAAAGAGAAAGUUGUAGAGACAAGUCAAUUUGUAAGCUGCGAGGAAUCUACCAUCGAUUCCACUUUCCAUAAUGGAUUGUCCCUCACCUCCUUCUUCGGUGACCACGAUGAGGGGCUCAGCCUCGGUGAGAAUGUGCCUAACCCUGGGAACCGGAAACUCUGGAUCCAGGGGAAGGUAGGCCAUCCCGGCCUUCAAGGUAGCCAGCAAGAGGGUCGGAAG